UGAGCUGUGGUGUAGGUCACAGACGCGGCUCAGAUCCCAUGUUGCUGUGGCUGUGGGGUAGGCCAGCAUCUACAGCUCUGAUAUGACCCCUAGCCUGGGAACUUCCACAUGCCAUAGGUGCGGCCCUAAAUUUAAAAAAAAAAAAAAAAAAAAAAAAAAGGAGUGCUGGCUUAUAUCUCCAUUUAUCCUCUAUGGUCUCCCAAUAAAGUAAGAGUUUGGAUAGGAGCACCGUGCCCUCCCAAAAGGACAGCCCCUUCUACUUUCUCUCCUCCUAACCUGAACUUAUUGGACACCCUACAGAAUCAGCUCACCUGUGCCCAUCAUGAACCUCGCUGGAAACAUUUCUGCCAAGCUCAUCUCCUGAUUGAGUCUCCAUGUGGCAAGUGCUCCAGGACUGAUGGGAGAUGAUGCAUUUUCUCACCUCCCACCCUCACCCCCCUAGUGGAGUGGAAGCAGAAUCAUUGUCUACCUCCUACUGUGACACCUGGGCUGUCCUACACUGUCAAGACCAUUGACUUGGUUUUACCAAUGAGAAGAAAGAAGGCGAAAGGUGAUGUGCCUGACGUCAUGAUCCCGGGAGAGGAUGACCUGGAAUCUAUCACCAGGUCUCCGACAGCCCAGCCUCCUUCCGGUUCCUCCCCGCAGCUCCUCCCUGCACACUCUGGGCCUCUCCAUGAAGAAUGCGGUAGCAGGAGGCCAUCUCGAAAAAUCCCUCUACUAUGCUCAAGAAUAUCAGAGAGAGAAUCAGUUCACACUUGAUGCUUAUUGAUCAGCUUCUCCCUAUUACUAUUAAAAUUAUGCCGGAAUGACAUAAUAAUAAUUCGAAAAAGGAAAAUGUUUAAGGUAAAUGAAUAUCUAAUUAUUAAAUAUUCAUAUUGUGUUCAUUUUAUUUUGAUCGUUAAUCUUUACUGUCUGUGUGCAAGAAAAAUUAGGGCAAAGAUCAUUCGAAGAAAGACAAUUAUUUUAGAAAUUAUCCUAACGUCAAAUGAAGAUGGUCUGAAAGAAGGAAGUGACAGAAAAUAAAAAGGAAGGUGUUUUUUUUUAGAAAACA
RNAcentral lists this long non-coding RNA (1051 nucleotides) under Sus scrofa (pig). RNAcentral describes it as "lncRNA (ENSSSCG00025001710.1)". The record is from RNAcentral. Lineage: Eukaryota; Metazoa; Chordata; Mammalia; Artiodactyla; Suidae.